GAAGAGAUGGCUGAGUGGUUUAAGGCAACGGUUUGCUAAAUCGUCAUACGUUUACGUAUCGUAGGUUCGAAUCCUAUUCUCUUUG
RNAcentral lists this transfer RNA (85 nucleotides) under Lithothamnion corallioides. RNAcentral describes it as "tRNA-Ser". It matches the Rfam family "tRNA". Rfam says of the family: Transfer RNA (tRNA) molecules are approximately 80 nucleotides in length. Their secondary structure includes four short double-helical elements and three loops (D, anti-codon, and T loops). Lineage: Eukaryota; Rhodophyta; Florideophyceae; Hapalidiales; Hapalidiaceae. The record is from RNAcentral.